Molecule: ribosomal RNA, 390 nt
Filed under: uncultured bacterium
Lineage: Bacteria
Description: bacterial SSU rRNA
Rfam family: Bacterial small subunit ribosomal RNA
Source: RNAcentral
GACGAACGCUGGCGGCGUGCUUAACACAUGCAAGUCGAGCGGUAAGGCCCUUUCGGGGUACGACGAGCGGCGAACGGGUGAGUAACACGUGGGUGACCUGCCCUCAGCUCUGGGAUAAGCCUGGGAAACUGGGUCUAAUACUGGAUAUGACUCCACGGUGCAUGUCGUGGGGUGGAAAGCCUUGUGCGGCUGAGGAUGGGCCCGCGGCCUAUCAGCUUGUUGGUGGGGUGAGGCCUACCAAGGCGACGACGGGUAGCCGGCCUGAGAGGGCGACCGGCCACACUGGGACUGAGACACGGCCCAGACUCCUACGGGAGGCAGCAGUGGGGAAUCUUGCGCAAUGGGCGAAAGCCUGACGCAGCGACGCCGCGUGAGGGAUGACGGCCUCGG